GUCAUGUGCCAGGAAUGGUUACUGCGUAAUCAAUUUUUUGGGUACUUCGUCAACUGGCGGAGAAAUUUGCUGAUGCGCCAAAUCCCGUGCGAGUUUCUUCGAUAUUUCGCCGGAAAAUCAGUUUAAAACAGGUAAGAUCGGUUCAUAUGCCAAGAAUUCGUACAUGGUAACGAAGAACCCAUAUCGAGGGACUCUUAUGAACCAAGAAUAGAAACUAGCAAGUCUUUAUAAACGUAAACAGAAUGAUGAAAAGGGAAAAUUAUAUGGUAAUUUCUCAUCUUGGUGGUGUAUGCUACAAUGUGGAACCAACUACACGGCUCGUCGAUGGUGUAGCAGGAGAUUUGCUUGACCAACUUUGAAAAUCGCGAGCCCGGGUCUCCUGGUCGUAUUCCUUAUUAUAUACCAAGCCACUUUGGUUACUCAACCCGCCGUUGGCGCGGUGGUCGGCAGGCUAUUCAUAGUAACAAGACCGAGGGAUUUCUCCACAAGUAAAAAUUACCUAGCUAACGGCCGUGAUUCCAAUACGGAGAACGUGAGUAACAUUUUAUUCAUUGAUUUAUUUGGAGGCCGAUGAGAUCUUUGUGAACUUUGUUCGUGUACAUAUGUUGUCGUAUUCGGAAUCGUGUAUAUUCGUAUUAUUCUAAACCACGUGAAUGGAUUCUGGAAGGAUCUAUUCAAUCGUAUCGUAAAUGUGGAGCUCGCCAAGCCAGGAUCGACAGCAAGUGGACUCGUAGAGAAUUGAAGAAACCAGGCUGUGACAAAGACGAUUUUUCGCCUGGGCCAGAAUAAGGAAUAAAGAUGCGGUGGAUACUAAAUUGCAGCCCAAAACAAUUUACGACAAUUCAUUGCUGCUGCUGAAAUUCGGGCACCAAGUCUCUUGAGCUUCAGUGGAAUGGACUUUCCCCGUGUAUUGUUCAUGGUGUGGAUUGCUGCAUGAACACGACUGCGCUAGUUUUUAAGGCCUUCCCAAGAAAGGUGCUGAAAGCAUCCUCCAUGCCGGCACUACAUCUACCGUCGCCGUCGGUUUUACAGCAAUGAACAACAUCCUGUCCCCUCCGGCGAAGUAUCUUCAGUGGGCUGACCGUGUUCUCGACCGUCGGUGCAUAGAUUAUCCCAUCCGAUCGCUCCCGCACAACAUUGUUGUAAUCCUCAUGACUGAAACGAGACCAGCUACCAUCGAUUUUCUCUGGAGGCAUUGUCCUGCUGUAGGGCGAGUGACUCUUCUACUGGUUGCAGUAUCCUGCAAGACCUGGGUCCUGUCAGUUCUCUUCGCAAUCUCUGAUUGAGGCACUGAUGCAUCAGAUCACUCUUCAAGGACAAGGCUGUACCGGCACGAUAUCGCCUCAUUGAGAAUAUGACCAAUUUAACAUCUACUAUCUGUUGAGGUGGAUUCAUAACAAAGCAUUUGAGCAUUUUUUCUCUCUUUUUAAUGAAUCGACAUAUUUGUCAGAUUUCCACGCAUUUACAGAGUAUAAGUGCAGACCCUUGCGGAGUUGGGCACCAGAGCCAAUGAUGACAUGUGCCAAUAUAUUGUUAUUUCUGAUUACCUGUAUAGUCCUUGUAUAAAACAAACAGUGCUCCAUAGUAUUAAGUCAUAUUUGACAACAUUAUUAGCUCUUGAGUUUGGUUUAGCUUCAGAAUUAAAAGGUGGCACAUUCAGAUAUAGCUUUGAGUAGAUGAACUCCUCAAAUUUCUUUAAAAGUCAAUAUUAUUUAAAACUUUCUUUUGCAGACUGUUGUGAACAUCUAGGGGAAUCUAGGCAGAAAUUCUGACCUGGGGUCAAAACUGGCUCUCUACUAGGGCAGAGACAUGUAUUCAUCCACAGGCAGAAGUGUGGCACUGACACAUAGUCCGUACUGAACUGUGAAGCUGUGGUAAAUACAUGACUGUGAUGGGUGAAAGUGGAUUUAUUCUUCAAUCUUUGGUGGAUUCUUAAUCUACAGAGCCAGGCCAUAACAGGGAUAUACUUUUUGAUAAUUAAUUUAGGGAAAUAUUGUGUCAGUGGCAAGUUUAGAACCUGUAUUCUAAUAGGCCCAGUCUGCAAGUGACGAUUUGAUGGCAAUCCUGUACACAAAUAAAUUUUUCUCAGGCAAUCGGUAUUGGAAUGUUUUGAAUUUUUACAAUUAUUUUGAUAAAAGCCUCUUCAUAAUACAUAUAAAAUUUGGUGGGAAUUAAAGCACCCUUGGUGUACUUUUUUCACCAACCUAUGUUUAUAAAAUGUACACAGAAUGUACACGCUGGCUAAUAGAGGUAUCUGGACUGCAAUUUUUUUUUUGCGUCUCAGUUGUUGAAUUGAUUCAUAAAUACAGUAGUUGUCAGGUUCAUAAUAAUGUUCAGUUAUGGAUAAUUUGAUUCUUUUCUGGUAUUUUGAUCGUGUACAACUCAAAAUUUAGCAAGGGGGGAUUUGCUGUGUAUUCACUCUUUGUAAUUCGCGCCUUACGUUGGUGGCGACGUCUGUGUUAAGUUGAAUAAACCUCGUUGUAGUUUCGGUAUUGAGA
Long non-coding RNA from Lineus longissimus, 2498 nucleotides. RefSeq lists it as uncharacterized. The record is from RefSeq and is a predicted model, not a curated record. Lineage: Eukaryota; Metazoa; Nemertea; Pilidiophora; Heteronemertea; Lineidae. The transcript has 6 exons.